GAGGAUAUUGCGCAAUGGAGGCAACUCUGNCGCAGCCAUGCCGCGUGCAGGAUGACAGCCCUACGGGUUGUAAACUGCUUUUCUGCAGGAAGAAUCCUCCCUACGUGUAGGGAGUUGACGGUACUGCAGGAAUAAGCAUCGGCUAACUCCGUGCCAGCAGCCGCGGUAAUACGGAGGAUGCAAGCGUUAUCCGGAUUCAUUGGGUUUAAAGGGUGCGCAGGCGGAUAUGUAAGUCAGAGGUGAAAGCCCACAGCUUAACUGUGGAAUUGCCUUUGAUACUGCAUAUCUUGAGUCUGGUUGAGGUAGGCGGAAUGUAGUAUGUAGCGGUGAAAUGCAUAGAUAUACUACAGAACACCCAUUGCGAAGGCAGCUUACCAAACCAGCACUGACGCUCAGGCACGAAAGCGUGGGGAGCAAACAGGAUUAGAUACCCUGGUAGUCCACGCCGUAAACGUUGAUCACUCGUUGUUGGCAAUACACCGUCAGCGACUAANCAAAAGCAUUAAGUGAUCCACCUGGGGAGUACNAUCGCANGGUUGAAACUCAAAGGAAUUGNCGGNGGCCCGNACAAGCGGNGGANCUG
RNAcentral lists this ribosomal RNA (583 nucleotides) under uncultured Bacteroidota bacterium. RNAcentral describes it as "bacterial SSU rRNA". It matches the Rfam family "Bacterial small subunit ribosomal RNA", at positions 357 to 940 of the family's 1533-position model. The record is from RNAcentral. Lineage: Bacteria; Pseudomonadati; Bacteroidota.